This 77-nucleotide transfer RNA is filed under the name bacterium. Its description in RNAcentral is "tRNA-Arg". It matches the Rfam family "tRNA". Rfam says of the family: Transfer RNA (tRNA) molecules are approximately 80 nucleotides in length. The record is from RNAcentral. RNAcentral also lists the same sequence under 7 other names.
GCGCCCGUAGCUCAGCUGGAUAGAGCGUCGGACUUCGAAUCCGCAGGUCGUGCGUUCGAAUCGCACCGGGCGUGCCA